RNAcentral lists this long non-coding RNA (1730 nucleotides) under Marmota monax (woodchuck). Lineage: Eukaryota; Metazoa; Chordata; Mammalia; Rodentia; Sciuridae. The record is from RNAcentral.
GGGACAGCUGUGCAGGUCCCAUGCAUGGUUUUCUGAAUCUUUCUUUUCAAAUUCCUUGAGGGGUCGAAUAGUUUAGAUUACUAGAAUACAUAGAAUUUCAUCAGCUUGUCCCUAGGAAAUUGAGUUUUAUCAUGCCAAUUUUUCUGAAGUGCCUUUCAUUGUGGUGAUAAGUUACUUAAUAAUAACUUACUGUAAUUGGAUGUGUGUAUUCCCGGCAAUCAAGUGGGAGGGUCUGUCUCCUAUCUUGAUUAUAGAAACUUAAAUAAUGUUUGGCGCUGCUUGGACAGCCCUUCUGCUCCUGACCCGAUGAUGGAGCGCUGCCUGUCGACGGCCAGCCAAUGCCAGGUGCAGCCGGGUGCCGAGCAUGGGAGUGUGGAGAUGAGAGAUAAGGGGAGGCGUGUGGGUGCUGCUCGCUGUCCUGCUGAUGCCUGCGGUCACCAGCAGGGAGUGGAGGGUGAGAACUUCCACUCGUAUGAUAGGAAUUCACUCUGCAGGGCCAACAGAGCCUGGGUCUGGAAGCAUGACGCUUGACCUUUCACGGGGUCAGAAUGUGAGUUAAGAGACAGCCUGCGUCAGCCAGGCACUUUCUGAUGUUUGCAGGGUGUUGGGUUUCCUCCUCAGACUCAGAGAGUGGAGUCGGCUGAAAGCUCCUCUUCUGAGUGGCACACUCUGUACCAUGCACGUGUUUACAGGGAACAGGUACUUUCUGACUCGGCAUGAAAUGAAGGUGUCAGCAGUAACCCCAAUCUUUCUUCCUCUGGCUACCUCUACAGGUGGCCCUGAAGAACACAGGCAUGCAGAAUGACAGAGACGUCUUUGACUCCAGUGUUCUACUUCAUCUGUCUGUCCAUCCCUCAUCCUUCCAUCCAUCACUUCCUAGUGCAUUAUCUGGCUUUGCCUUCCUCUUAAAAUUGUAGCUGAGCAUAACUUCCAAUAUUAAAAGUUUCCUGUCAGAAGGGCUAAGUAACGAGGUCCUCAAACACACGUUGAUUCUGUUGUGAAGAGCAAAACUCAGAUGUUCGAUCUGAGAUGGGACUGGUAUUACUAUUCUCACAAACAGAUAAUACAUGUCUGUUAUGUACACACACACACACACACACACACAUGCACAAACACACGCACGUACCCGCUAGCAAGUAUUGUGAUAACAUAGGACAACUUCAAUAAAACAUAAUUUACUUCCCAAAUGGUCUGUUGAAAUUGGAGGUUUUUAAAUAUAUUUUUAUCUUUAAAUUAAAAUCAAGCAUUGGAGGCAGUCACAUUUUAUCUCUGUGCUUAACAACACUGAUUUAAAAAAUGUUCCAGCCAUGCCUCUGUAGCUGGUUUCCUGGCUUUUAAGAGGAUGUUAGAGAAGACAGCAAUGCCCAUAUUCCUUACAUGAACUGCCAAGAACCAAUGGGAAAUCCCAGAAGGUAGGAUGCUCCCGAAAUUUUUGGCCUGCUUUCUGCAGAAGUUCAUCUUUGUUGCGGGUCCACAGUAACCGAAUCUUCUGGAUCUUGUUGCAUUUGGCAAUGUGCCCAAAAAACACUAGUGAGCUUACAGCUUCCAGAAAAAUCCAGACUGGAUGAGCAAGCUUGAUUUUUCUUCUUGAGUCAUUAUCCCAUACAACAAACAAGACUCCUGUCCAAAAACACAGCUGCCUAAGGUCCUGAUCGCGACAGCCGCCAUCUGUUGAAGGUUCACUAUGGGUCAUGAAUCUGACUGAAGUGCUUUAUGUCUACCAAUUGGCU